RNAcentral lists this ribosomal RNA (388 nucleotides) under uncultured bacterium. Its description in RNAcentral is "bacterial SSU rRNA". It matches the Rfam family "Bacterial small subunit ribosomal RNA", at positions 29 to 429 of the family's 1533-position model. The record is from RNAcentral.
AGUGAAUGCUGGCGGCGUGCUUAACACAUGCAAGUCGAACGAGCAAGUGCUGUAGUAAUACAGAUUACUGCUAGUGGCAGACGGGUGAGUAAUACAUGGGAAUCUGCCUUGAAGUCUGGGAUAACUGUUGGAAACGACAGCUAAUACCGGAUAUUGCCGAGAGGUGAAAGAUUUAUCGCUUCAAGAUGAGCCCAUGCAAGAUUAGCUAGUUGGUGAGGUAAUGGCUCACCAAGGCGAAGAUCUUUAGCUGGUCUAAGAGGAUGAUCAGCCACACUGGAACUGAGACACGGUCCAGACUCCUACGGGAGGCAGCAGUGGGGAAUAUUGGACAAUGGGCGAAAGCCUGAUCCAGCGACGCCGCGUGAGUGAAGAAGGCCUCGGUUGUAAG